This 1408-nucleotide ribosomal RNA is filed under the name Klebsiella sp. RNAcentral describes it as "bacterial SSU rRNA". It matches the Rfam family "Bacterial small subunit ribosomal RNA". The record is from RNAcentral. Lineage: Bacteria; Pseudomonadati; Pseudomonadota; Gammaproteobacteria; Enterobacterales; Enterobacteriaceae.
CAUGCAGUCGAGCGGUAGCACAGAGAGCUUGCUCUCGGGUGACGAGCGGCGGACGGGUGAGUAAUGUCUGGGAAACUGCCUGAUGGAGGGGGAUAACUACUGGAAACGGUAGCUAAUACCGCAUAACGUCGCAAGACCAAAGUGGGGGACCUUCGGGCCUCAUGCCAUCAGAUGUGCCCAGAUGGGAUUAGCUGGUAGGUGGGGUAACGGCUCACCUAGGCGACGAUCCCUAGCUGGUCUGAGAGGAUGACCAGCCACACUGGAACUGAGACACGGUCCAGACUCCUACGGGAGGCAGCAGUGGGGAAUAUUGCACAAUGGGCGCAAGCCUGAUGCAGCCAUGCCGCGUGUGUGAAGAAGGCCUUCGGGUUGUAAAGCACUUUCAGCGGGGAGGAAGGCGGUGAGGUUAAUAACCUCACCGAUUGACGUUACCCGCAGAAGAAGCACCGGCUAACUCCGUGCCAGCAGCCGCGGUAAUACGGAGGGUGCAAGCGUUAAUCGGAAUUACUGGGCGUAAAGCGCACGCAGGCGGUCUGUCAAGUCGGAUGUGAAAUCCCCGGGCUCAACCUGGGAACUGCAUUCGAAACUGGCAGGCUAGAGUCUUGUAGAGGGGGGUAGAAUUCCAGGUGUAGCGGUGAAAUGCGUAGAGAUCUGGAGGAAUACCGGUGGCGAAGGCGGCCCCCUGGACAAAGACUGACGCUCAGGUGCGAAAGCGUGGGGAGCAAACAGGAUUAGAUACCCUGGUAGUCCACGCUGUAAACGAUGUCGAUUUGGAGGUUGUGCCCUUGAGGCGUGGCUUCCGGAGCUAACGCGUUAAAUCGACCGCCUGGGGAGUACGGCCGCAAGGUUAAAACUCAAAUGAAUUGACGGGGGCCCGCACAAGCGGUGGAGCAUGUGGUUUAAUUCGAUGCAACGCGAAGAACCUUACCUGGUCUUGACAUCCACAGAACUUAGCAGAGAUGCUUUGGUGCCUUCGGGAACUGUGAGACAGGUGCUGCAUGGCUGUCGUCAGCUCGUGUUGUGAAAUGUUGGGUUAAGUCCCGCAACGAGCGCAACCCUUAUCCUUUGUUGCCAGCGGUCCGGCCGGGAACUCAAAGGAGACUGCCAGUGAUAAACUGGAGGAAGGUGGGGAUGACGUCAAGUCAUCAUGGCCCUUACGACCAGGGCUACACACGUGCUACAAUGGCAUAUACAAAGAGAAGCGACCUCGCGAGAGCAAGCGGACCUCAUAAAGUAUGUCGUAGUCCGGAUUGGAGUCUGCAACUCGACUCCAUGAAGUCGGAAUCGCUAGUAAUCGUAGAUCAGAAUGCUACGGUGAAUACGUUCCCGGGCCUUGUACACACCGCCCGUCACACCAUGGGAGUGGGUUGCAAAAGAAGUAGGUAGCUUAACCUUCGGGAGGGCGCUA